AUUGAACGCUGGCGGCAGGCCUAACACAUGCAAGUCGAACGGUAACAGGAAGCAGCUUGCUGCUUUGCUGACGAGUGGCGGACGGGUGAGUAAUGUCUGGGAAACUGCCUGAUGGAGGGGGAUAACUACUGGAAACGGUAGCUAAUACCGCAUAACGUCGCAAGACCAAAGAGGGGGACCUUAGGGCCUCUUGCCAUCGGAUGUGCCCAGAUGGGAUUAGCUAGUAGGUGGGGUAACGGCUCACCUAGGCGACGAUCCCUAGCUGGUCUGAGAGGAUGAACAGCCACACUGGAAAUGAGACACGGUCCAGACUCCUACGGGAGGCAGCAGUGGGGAAUAUUGCACAAUGGGCGCAAGCCUGAUGCAGCCAUGCCGCGUGUAUGAAGAAGGCCUUCGGGUUGUAAAGUACUUUCAGCGGGGAGGAAGGGAGUAAAGUUAAUACCUUUGCUCAUUGACGUUACCCGCAGAAGAAGCACCGGCUAACUCCGUG
RNAcentral lists this ribosomal RNA (490 nucleotides) under uncultured bacterium. Its description in RNAcentral is "partial 16S ribosomal RNA". It matches the Rfam family "Bacterial small subunit ribosomal RNA", at positions 30 to 507 of the family's 1533-position model. The record is from RNAcentral.